UACGGGGGGGGCAAGCGUUGUUCGGAAUUACUGGGCGUAAAGGGCUCGUAGGCGGCCAACUAAGUCGGACGUGAAAUCCCCAGGCUCAACCUGGGAACUGCGUCCGAUACUGGUUGGCUUGAGUUUGGGAGAGGGAUGCGGAAUUCCAGGUGUAGCGGUGAAAUGCGUAGAUAUCUGGAGGAACACCGGUGGCGAAGGCGGCAUCCUGGACCAAUACUGACGCUGAGGAGCGAAAGCCAGGGGAGCAAACGGG
Molecule: ribosomal RNA, 253 nt
Filed under: uncultured bacterium
Lineage: Bacteria
Description: partial 16S ribosomal RNA
Rfam family: Bacterial small subunit ribosomal RNA
Source: RNAcentral